UCCCUGGUGGUCCAGUGGUUAAGACUCUGUGCUCCCAAUGCGGGGGGCCUGGGUUCGAUCCCAGGUCAGAGAA
This is a non-coding RNA of Bos taurus (domestic cattle), 73 nucleotides long. The record is from Rfam. Lineage: Eukaryota; Metazoa; Chordata; Mammalia; Artiodactyla; Bovidae.